RNAcentral lists this long non-coding RNA (189 nucleotides) under Mustela putorius furo (domestic ferret). RNAcentral describes it as "lncRNA (ENSMPUG00000026577.1)". Lineage: Eukaryota; Metazoa; Chordata; Mammalia; Carnivora; Mustelidae. The record is from RNAcentral.
GAAAGCCAACUGAAAUCCUGGAAAACAAAUUUGAAUGGAGAAGAAAUAGCUCAAUGUUAUUGGAUUUUGUUCAGUCCUCAAUUCAAGCUUCUGUUUCAAAGUCCUGCCUUGGAGUCAGGUAAGUAACUUUCAGGUUUUCUAACAAGGUUUCCAGGAUUAAAGACAUCCACUAUGAACAGUUUUAAAAAG